GGUGAGGUCCUGGCAUGGCGGUGGGCCCAGGUUUAGAGGGCCACAAAUCUACACUGAAGCAACUUCACAAACGUUUGAGCUCAGUUCUGUGUCUGUAGCCACACGUCCCCCAGACAGAAGAGGCAAGCCUGGUGAGAGGUAGCGAGACUGCAUUCAUUAUCAUUAUCUAUAACUGUGUAAACAAUUCCCCAAAGCCUGCGCCUGAAACCAACACAAAUGCAUUAUCAUACGCUUUCUAUUGGUCAAGAGUUUAGGCAGAAUUUGCCUGGAGCUUCUGCCAAAUUUCAGUCAUGGCUGUGCUCCGGAGUUCGGGGCCAUAAGGAACUCUCAGCAGUCGCCAUGACAAUGUGCCAGGCAGGAUCUGGUUUCUGUGGGAGAAAUGGAAACGAAAGUGUGACAGUGGGCAAACGUGAGGUGCUUCUGCCAACCUCAAGAAACCCCACCAGUCAGUAACGGAGCCUUUCUCCAGUCUUUGUCUUUUAUCCUACAUCUUUUGACUUGGGUAUCCUUAUAAUGAAAAAUUGACAACGGGAAGACUUCAAAGUUAUUUGGCCAGAUUCUCCUGGCCACUUACCAUGCCAUCCAUCAUCUCCUCUCCAACCCCUCUGUCACUGUAAACAAAUGCCUAGUAGAAACAUCUGAGCGGGGAAGGGGAUUUGGGUAUAUCUGCAAGGUAUGGUGGAGUGCCUGGAGGGUGUGUGUGGAGAGGCCCCUCACUUCAUAGGAGAACAAGAAGCAGAGAGAUCUGGGAAGAAUCCAGUAACCUGCUUUCCCUAACCCCACCUCUUCUCCUAAGGGCUCCCCAGCAUCCCCACAGAACACCACCAGACAGGGAACAGCCAUUCAGAACACAAGUCUAUAUGGGAGAGUGCAGACUCAAAUGGUAACAUUCCCUCUAAGAGUGAGCUUUUAAAGUCAAUCUCCUUGACAAGCAAAUUUAUCUCUUCUGACUGGCAUAUGUCGUCACACUUGGCUUUUGAUGCAUUUUGAAUGAAAAUGACCCCCAAAGACUCAUAGGGAGUGGCACUAUUAGGAGU
Molecule: long non-coding RNA, 1037 nt
Organism: Mus musculus (house mouse)
Lineage: Eukaryota; Metazoa; Chordata; Mammalia; Rodentia; Muridae
Product: predicted gene, 31715
Exons: 3
Source: RefSeq, a predicted model, not a curated record